GGAUGCGAUCAUACCAGCACUAAAGCACCGGAUCCCAUCAGAACUCCGAAGUUAAGCGUGCUUGGGCGAGAGUAGUACUAGGAUGGGUGACCUCCUGGGAAGUCCUCGUGUUGCAUUNN
This 119-nucleotide ribosomal RNA is filed under the name Triticum dicoccoides. The record is from RNAcentral. Lineage: Eukaryota; Viridiplantae; Streptophyta; Magnoliopsida; Poales; Poaceae.